UACGGGGGGGGCAAGCGUUGUUCGGAAUUACUGGGCGUAAAGGGCUCGUAGGCGGCCAACUAAGUCCGACGUGAAAUCCCCAGGCUUAACCUGGGAACUGCGUCGGAUACUGGUUGGCUUGAAUCCGGGAGAGGGAUGCGGAAUUCCAGGUGUAGCGGUGAAAUGCGUAGAUAUCCGGAGGAACACCGGUGGCGAAGGCGGCUUCCUGGACCGACACUGACGCUGAGUCGCGAAAGCUAUGGGAGCAAACGGG
This 253-nucleotide ribosomal RNA is filed under the name uncultured bacterium. RNAcentral's name for it is "partial 16S ribosomal RNA". It matches the Rfam family "Bacterial small subunit ribosomal RNA", at positions 524 to 776 of the family's 1533-position model. The record is from RNAcentral.